UCCUCGUUAGUAUAGUGGUGAGUAUCCCCGCCUGUCACGCGCGAGACCGGGGUUCGAUUCCCCGACGGGCAG
This is a non-coding RNA of Xenopus tropicalis (tropical clawed frog), 72 nucleotides long. The record is from Rfam. NCBI's taxonomy places the organism in Eukaryota, Metazoa, Chordata, Amphibia, Anura, Pipidae.